UACCCAGUAAUAAUAUUAUAUACAUAUCUUGCACAUUGGUGGGCCGCAUGCUGCAUGGGUGGCGCAUCACACGCAGAAAACGUGGUCGAACGUUAUAUUUUAAAAAAGAGAGAGAGAGAGAGAGACACAGCGGUCCGUGUAUUUUGUCCCUUCGAUGAUGAAGCCUUCGUAACUUGUAGAUAUUACAGACAAAUUCCAUCUACCUAGCUCCA
Molecule: long non-coding RNA, 212 nt
Filed under: Elaeis guineensis (African oil palm)
Lineage: Eukaryota; Viridiplantae; Streptophyta; Magnoliopsida; Arecales; Arecaceae
Description: long non-coding RNA (EGUI_LNC007710)
Source: RNAcentral